UACGUAGGGUGCGAGCGUUGUCCGGAAUUAUUGGGCGUAAAGAGCUUGUAGGCGGUCUGUCGCGUCUGCUGUGAAAAUCCGGGGCUCAACCCCGGACUUGCAGUGGGUACGGGCAGACUGGAGUGUGGUAGGGGAGACUGGAAUUCCUGGUGUAGCGGUGAAAUGCGCAGAUAUCAGGAGGAACACCGGUGGCGAAGGCGGGUCUCUGGGCCGAUACUGACGCUGAGGAGCGAAAGCGUGGGGAGCGAACAGG
Molecule: ribosomal RNA, 253 nt
Filed under: uncultured bacterium
Lineage: Bacteria
Description: partial 16S ribosomal RNA
Rfam family: Bacterial small subunit ribosomal RNA
Source: RNAcentral